Molecule: ribosomal RNA, 133 nt
Filed under: Habropoda laboriosa
Lineage: Eukaryota; Metazoa; Arthropoda; Insecta; Hymenoptera; Apidae
Source: RNAcentral
ACCAGCGGCCGUAGCCGUGCAUGUCUACCGGUUCCCGUUCGAUCACCGAAGUCAAGAUGCACUGGGCGGCGUUCCGUAAGAAGAUGUGGGUGACCGCUCUACAUUCGUCUCUGGAAGCGCCGUGCUGCUGGUU